RNAcentral lists this small RNA (796 nucleotides) under Pan troglodytes (chimpanzee). RNAcentral describes it as "retained intron". The record is from RNAcentral. Lineage: Eukaryota; Metazoa; Chordata; Mammalia; Primates; Hominidae.
AUAAUGCUGGAAUGAACAUCCAAAUGAAUCAGUCUUUGAGCACUUCCUUGAAUGUUUCCUUAAAAUAGAUUCCUAAGAGUAGAAUUCCUGUUCAGAGUUUUAAGCUUUUAUUGUAUUAAAUUACUUUUUAGAAAAGAAUGUACCAGUUUAUAUUCUCAGCAGUAAUGUGUGAGAAUAUCCGUUUGCCUUUCCAGCACUGGAUGAAAACAAAAAAUUGGUCUAUGUGAUAGCUACUUCUGACCCCCUGCCCAAGGAACAGAAAAUAAAUGGUAUCUCAGUGUUUUAAUAUUUUUUAUUAGGCUUUCUGUGAAGAAUUGGAAUCAAUGAUACAGGAGCAAUUUAAGAAGGGGAAGAACCCCACAGGCCUAUUGGCUUUACAGCAGAUUGCAGAUUUUAUGACCACGAAUGUACCAAAUGUCUACCCAGCAGCUCCGCAAGGAGGGAUGGCUGCCUUAAACAUGAGUCUUGGUAUGGUGACUCCUGUGAACGAUCUUAGAGGAUCUGAUUCUAUUGCGUAUGACAAAGGAGAGAAGUUAUUACGGUGUAAAUUGGCAGCGUUUUAUAGACUAGCAGAUCUCUUUGGGUGGUCUCAGCUUAUCUACAAUCAUAUCACAACCAGAGUGAACUCCGAGCAGGAACACUUCCUCAUUGUCCCUUUUGGGCUUCUUUACAGUGAAGUGACUGCAUCCAGUUUGGUUAAGAUCAAUCUACAAGGAGAUAUAGUAGAUCGUGGAAGCACUAAUCUGGGAGUAAAUCAAGCCGGCUUCACCUUACACUCUGCAAUUUAUGCUGCACG